CGGAGUGUAGCGCAGCCUGGUAGCGCGCCUGCUUUGGGAGCAGGAUGUCGGGAGUUCGAAUCUCUCCACUCCGACCA
RNAcentral lists this transfer RNA (77 nucleotides) under Micavibrio sp. Its description in RNAcentral is "tRNA-Pro". It matches the Rfam family "tRNA". Rfam says of the family: Transfer RNA (tRNA) molecules are approximately 80 nucleotides in length. Their secondary structure includes four short double-helical elements and three loops (D, anti-codon, and T loops). Lineage: Bacteria; Pseudomonadati; Bdellovibrionota; Bdellovibrionia; Bdellovibrionales; Pseudobdellovibrionaceae. The record is from RNAcentral.